UUCUCAAGAAAAUAAGUUGUCCAAGGUGGUAGUCUUAUAUUUGAAAAUGAACAAGUAUAUAUAUGCUUGUAUGAUAUUUCAUUUUAAUUACUAAAAUUAAGUUGCUCGAUUUGCUUAAGAGUGACAAUUAAUUUUGUACAGGACCUUUGUUAGGCCAAGUAAUUAGUUCAAGUUCCAUAAUAUACAUUAUCUAGCUUGCUCAGCCGAACUUUCAAACCCAAAGCAAACAUUGAUCGGUGCGGUAGGGAACGUCCAGUCCAGAACAAUUUAUCGCAAACCAACUACAAUAGGGAAAUUAAAUAAAAAGGUCGACGACGUAUAUAAGAUUGAUGAUCCGUAUUCACUCUAUUUCUUUAAUGAAAAUUCAUAUUAAUUAAUUUCAGGUAUAUGUUUUUCCCUCCUAAAGGACUCUAGCUAGCCAGGGAGACGUACAACAAAAAUAAAUACACGCCAAUGUGACUCUUAAUUAGGUUUGGAUGGAUGAUCUUCCUUAUUAAAACCUUCGUGUAGCAAGCUAGUAUAUUUAUAGAUUCAAAUAUAUAUAGUAGUGUACACAUAUAAAUUAAAAAGCUAGAGACGGUGCUGGUGACUCGAUGAACUUCUCAGUUGACACCGGUCCGGGUGCAGCCAGAAACUUCCCAGGAGUUGUCGGUCCAGGUGCCACAAUUCCUGAGCUUUUUAUCUCCGCCAUCCCGCGACGUGCAUUUUCUCCUUGUGCUUGGCACAAUUUUGGAAGAUACACCCCUGCCAAAAGGAUAAAAAUGAAAAAUAGAACUAGUAAACAUAAAAGCAAUGCUCGAAAUUUCGGCCGCCCGAAUAUUUGUAGACUUGAUUUAUGUAGAUUCCACUAGUGUGACAUAUAUAUAUAUUUAGAGCCUUGACAUAGUCGACUAGAUACAAUAUGUAACAAGCUAUUCUACGUAAAAUGAAUGAAAAUAUAGGCCAUAUAAAUCUAUAUAUAUAUAUAUAUAUAUAUAUAUAUAUAUAUAUAUAUAUAUAUAUACACAUAUAUAAAUAUAUAUAUAAGUAUACACAUAAAUUAAAAGGCUGGAGACAGUGCUGGUGACUCGAUGAACUUCUCGGUUGACACCGGUCCGGGUGCAGCCAGGAACUUCCCAGAAGUUGUCGGUCCAGGUGCCACAAUUCCUGAGCUUUUUAUCUCCGCCAUCCCGCGACGUGCAUUUUCUCCUUGUGCUUGGCACAAUUUUGGAAGAUACACCCCU
This 1223-nucleotide long non-coding RNA is filed under the name Panax ginseng (ginseng). Its description in RNAcentral is "long non-coding RNA (PGIN_LNC013144)". The record is from RNAcentral. Lineage: Eukaryota; Viridiplantae; Streptophyta; Magnoliopsida; Apiales; Araliaceae.